AUGGAUGCUGGUUGUAGCAGGGUAAUUGAAGUAGAUUUUUGGUGUUUUCUUGACAACAAUGGAAAACAAUAUGAUAACAAGAAUAUCAACAGGUUUUUGGGCUUUUUUUGCAGGUCUGUGCAAGGCUGGUCUGUGGGGCUUGUGGAUGGUUGGUGGAAGGUUGUUUUGACAGACUGUUGUAUGCAGGAAUUUGCCAGCAUGGGGCAGAGUUGGUGGACUGGUUUAAUAGCAUGUGUUUGGACUACUUUUUGA
RNAcentral lists this long non-coding RNA (252 nucleotides) under Vicia faba (fava bean). The record is from RNAcentral. Lineage: Eukaryota; Viridiplantae; Streptophyta; Magnoliopsida; Fabales; Fabaceae.